UGAUGCGGGUUACUACUUGUAGUUAUUGCCUGCACAUUCUUGUAUAUUUAGUUGCAAGAUGUUGUCGGCGUGCACUUCUCCCCUAGUAGAACGUCGCGACCUGUUGGGUGUCGGUCUACGGCCCAAGUGAUAGCCUUUAAUGUAAUUUAAAAAGCAUUGAAGAUCCUUGGUGUUUUCUGACCGGCUACUUGGCAGUAUUCGUACGUAUUUAGCCGCUAAAUUUAAUAAGCGUCCAUAUCCGUCACAAGCGAGGCUAAUUUACUGAUAGUGCGGACCUAGUGCCGUCGUUGGUAUUGGCCAGCUGUUGGUUGUACGGUAUUCUAGGACUGGCUAAAAUUAAUUACCGGUCGGCGAUGCUACUGCUUUGGGUACUUUCAGGACCCGUCUUGAAACACGGACCAAGGAGUCUAACAUGUGCGCAAGUCAUUGGGAUUUUUUAAAAAUUAAACCUAAAGGCGUAAUGAAAGUAAAGGUAGACCUUGUGUCAACCGAGGGAGGAUGAGUUAUAUCAUGAUAUAGCUUCGCACUCCCGGGGCGUCUCAUUCUUAUUACAAGAAGAGGCGCACCUAG
RNAcentral lists this ribosomal RNA (570 nucleotides) under Aleiodes (Tetrasphaeropyx) sp. AZR-2008. RNAcentral's name for it is "eukaryotic LSU rRNA". It matches the Rfam family "Eukaryotic large subunit ribosomal RNA", at positions 448 to 798 of the family's 3401-position model. The record is from RNAcentral. Lineage: Eukaryota; Metazoa; Arthropoda; Insecta; Hymenoptera; Braconidae.